UGUGUAGGCGGUUGCUUAAGUUUGGUGUGAAAUCUCCCGGCUCAACUGGGAGGGUGCGCCGAAUACUGAGUGACUCGAGUGCGGGAGAGGAGAGUGGAAUUCCUGGUGUAGCGGUGAAAUGCGUAGAUAUCAGGAGGAACACCGGUGGUGUAGACGGCUCUCUGGACCGUAACUGACGCUGAGACACGAAAGCGUGGGUAGCAAACAGGAUUAGAUACCCUGGUAGUCCACGCCCUAAACGAUGCAUAUUUGGUGUGGGCAGUUCAGUCUGUCCGUGCCGGAGCUAACGCGUUAAAUAUGCCGCCUGGGGAGUACAGUCGCAAGGCUAGAA
This 331-nucleotide ribosomal RNA is filed under the name uncultured bacterium. Its description in RNAcentral is "bacterial SSU rRNA". It matches the Rfam family "Bacterial small subunit ribosomal RNA", at positions 568 to 899 of the family's 1533-position model. The record is from RNAcentral.